GAUGAACGCUAGCUACAGGCUUAACACAUGCAAGUCGAGGGGAAACGAUAGAGAAAGCUUGCUUUUUCUAGGCGUCGACCGGCGCACGGGUGAGUAACGCGUAUCCAACCUGCCCAUCACUUGGGGAUAACCUUGCGAAAGUAAGACUAAUACCCAAUGACGUCUCUAGAAGACAUCUGAAAGGGAUUAAAGAUUUAUCGGUGAUGGAUGGGGAUGCGUCUGAUUAGCUUGUUGGAGGGGUAACGGCACACCAAGGCGACGAUCAGUAGGGGUUCUGAGAGGAAGGUCCCCCACAUUGGAACUGAGACACGGUCCAAACUCCUACGGGAGGCAGCAGUGAGGAAUAUUGGUCAAUGGACGAGAGUCUGAACCAGCCAAGUAGCGUGCAGGAUGACGGCCCUAUGGGUUGUAAACUGCUUUUAUAAGGGAAUAAAGUGAGAGUCGUGACUCUUUUUGCAUGUACCUUAUGAAUAAGGACCGGCUAAUUCCGUGCCAGCCGCCGCCGUAA
RNAcentral lists this ribosomal RNA (508 nucleotides) under uncultured bacterium. RNAcentral describes it as "partial 16S ribosomal RNA". It matches the Rfam family "Bacterial small subunit ribosomal RNA", at positions 28 to 523 of the family's 1533-position model. The record is from RNAcentral.